RNAcentral lists this ribosomal RNA (447 nucleotides) under uncultured Chloroflexota bacterium. RNAcentral's name for it is "bacterial SSU rRNA". It matches the Rfam family "Bacterial small subunit ribosomal RNA", at positions 923 to 1382 of the family's 1533-position model. The record is from RNAcentral. Lineage: Bacteria; Bacillati; Chloroflexota.
GCACAAGCAGCGAGCGUGUGGUUUAAUUCGAUGCAACGCGAAGAACCUUACCAGGGUUUGACAUGCUUAAAGUAGAAACUCGAAAGAGGGACGACCUGUAUCCAGUCAGGAAUUUGCACAGGUGCUGCAUGGCUGUCGUCAGCUCGUGCCGUGAGGUGUUAGGUUAAGUCCUGCAACGAGCGCAACCCUCGUCGCUAGUUAUUUUCUCUAGCGAUACUGCCCGUAUAACGUGGAGGAAGGUGGGGAUGACGUCAAGUCAGCAUGGCCCUUACAUCCUGGGCUACACACACGCUACAAUGGGUGAUACAAAAGGUUGCGAUAGAGCGAUCUGGAGCCAAUCCCCAAAAUCAUCCUCAGUACGGAUUGCAGGCUGCAACUGCCUGCAUGAAGUUGGAGCUGCUAGUAAACGCAGGUCAGCACACUGCGUUGAAUACGUUCUCGGGCCUU